This is a long non-coding RNA of Rhincodon typus (whale shark), 616 nucleotides long. RefSeq lists it as uncharacterized. The record is from RefSeq and is a predicted model, not a curated record. Lineage: Eukaryota; Metazoa; Chordata; Chondrichthyes; Orectolobiformes; Rhincodontidae. The transcript has 2 exons.
GUGGGAUAGCUGUCACUCAGAGAUUCUCGGCGCAGUAAGUGAGGGCCUACAGCAGCAGCCCAGGGGUUUGUAAACAAUCAGUCAAACUGCUCAGGACAGUAAGAGCCAGAAUGCUCUCCACAUGAAGCUGGAUGUUGACCUGUCUUGUCUCUCUCUGCCCUAUUCUUAGGGCCUGGUAUGAGAGAGGGGCAAGUAUUGAAGGAUCAGGGUACUGCCAGCAGGUGGCCACAGUGAGGGAGAGAACCAGACAGAUACCCUGGCAGCUUCCUCCCAGGAGCCUGGGCAGGAACCCUACCCCUGCACUUCCCCCAUGCCAGUGAUUCCAUCACCUCAGCCAAGGAGACCCUGUCUGCUUCUCUCAGCAGUUAGAAUCCAGGAGGCUCAGAGUCCCAAGAGGACAUCCCACACAGUCACUAGAAUGGAUGAAUCAGCAAGCAGGCUUCCUCCCACUCAGUGAGAGAUACCAGGCCAUUAUCUAGAUGCAGCGGGACAGAGAAGAGAAGAAAAACAUUCUAACGGCACCUUUGUGACAUCGGAGUUCAAUCAGUUUAGAUAAUCUGUACUUUUGCAAACAUAUAUUUGUUCAUAAAAAAUGUGUUCACUUGCACUGUUCUAA